AUGGUCCUCGUCCACCAUGGCCUCUCCUAUCUUAUCGAGCACCCCCCUCCCCCAAACGCCGAUUCCCGGUACCUUGAGCUCGACGCCCAUGUCGCCCUGGGGGUGUAUGCCACCCUUGCGGACUCCAUCAUCGACCAUGUCAUCGGCGCCACCACCACCAACGAUCUCUGGACCCGGAUCAACGCCUACUUCCUCGCCAACCGCGCUGCUCGGUACAUGACGCUCAACCGGCAGUACCGGAAUCUCAAGCAGGGAGAUCUCUCGGUCGCCGAGUAUGCGCGACGCAUGAAGCUGCUCACCGCCGGCCUCGCCGACAUCGACCAUGCCGUCACCGAGGUCGACCUCACCACCCAGUUCCUCCAUGGCCUUGAUGGGCGCCUUGACACCAUCCGGGUCGUUCUGGGCGACAUCGUUCCCCUGCCACCGUUCGAGACCGUCUUCUCGCGC
Molecule: ribosomal RNA, 447 nt
Filed under: Triticum aestivum (bread wheat)
Lineage: Eukaryota; Viridiplantae; Streptophyta; Magnoliopsida; Poales; Poaceae
Description: partial small subunit ribosomal RNA
Source: RNAcentral